UACGGGAGGCAGCAGUGGGGAAUAUUGCACAAUGGGGGAAACCCUGAUGCAGCGACGCCGCGUGAAGGAAGAAGUAUUUCGGUAUGUAAACUUCUAUCAGCAGGGAAGAAAAUGACGGUACAUGACUAA
RNAcentral lists this ribosomal RNA (129 nucleotides) under uncultured rumen bacterium. RNAcentral's name for it is "partial 16S ribosomal RNA". It matches the Rfam family "Bacterial small subunit ribosomal RNA", at positions 340 to 476 of the family's 1533-position model. The record is from RNAcentral.